Molecule: long non-coding RNA, 1619 nt
Organism: Sebastes umbrosus (honeycomb rockfish)
Lineage: Eukaryota; Metazoa; Chordata; Actinopteri; Perciformes; Sebastidae
Exons: 3
Source: RefSeq, a predicted model, not a curated record
GCUGCUCUUCUGUUCUGUUCUGUUGUUAACCACAGUCAUACAAAAAAAGGCCCUGAGAAGGCCAUGUGUUAGCAAACAUUUCCCUAUCGACACAUCAAGCAGACAUGGAUUAACAUUAGCAUUUAUUUGGAGUCGUGUUUCUGCCCACCAGACCACUUGAGCCAGGCUUUGGGCUGCCAGCGGAGGACGUGAAGUCAGGCCAGGGAGCCAAGGCCACUGUCAGCUCUCAGUGGUUAGAAUAACCUAGAAAAAACCUCCUGGGAACCUGGGCUUGGAUCAGACCAGUGCUGGCAGGGAGACCAGGCGAGAGGCUGAACUUCCAGUAACGCGUUGUUGGUUCUGGUCUUUUCAUGGCAUUUGUUGACAAGAAGCUUAUCCUGGUACUUUAAGGAUGCAAUAGUUCAUCACCCUGGACCUGGUGAAGCACUUUUUGGCCGACGGGGACGGAUUGAUGGAAGAGAAAUUUGGGAGAGAGAGAGAGUUGGCAGAGUUCCCCUGCAUGUUGUGUUACAGCUGACCCUAUCCUCAACUUUGACCCCUGACCCUGGCAGAGAUCUGUCAUGAGAGGGAGCUGCUUAACACAAAAUGGAGCCUGGUUCAAGAGUCAGAAAGAGAGCGAGACAUGCACAGAGUGGGGGAGAGAGAGAGUGAGACAGUGCUCCACCGCACACAGAGGACUCAUUUAUCCUCUCUCUCUCUUGACUGCAGUUUUUUUUUUUUUCUUCCUCUCUUUUGUUUUCACUGCACAGAAACUGUUGCCCUUUUCUUCCUAUACAUCUCCUCUCUUUCUCUCCGUCUUUCCUCCCCCCUCCAUCUUCUCGCCCUCCUCGUCUGGUUGCUUUUGGACAACAGCAUGCCAUCAUCAGCGGCCACCGCCACCACCACAGGUACGGAUUCAUGGCUGCGAGGACCAGCAGGAUUCUGGGGGGGAAUUUGUGAGACGAGGCUUUAAUGAGUGCGAGGCCUCGUCGGCCGGCGAGAAAUGUAUGCAAAUGAUAUGCACACACCAAAAAGGACCCUGGGUAGGCGAGGCGAGCGCCGGCCGAGCUCCUGCUGAGCUCUGAGGAAGAUGAGCGGCUCAGGUCAGAAGAAUGACAACAAAACACCUCCUCCUCCUUUUCUCCUUCUUUCUUUUCCUUCAUCGUGCAUCUAGGAGAGCAGAGAAAGAUGAAAACUGCUGAACACAUUAGCUGAGACUUUGUUUUGCUGCUACAUAAUGCUGUUUUUAGUUCCUGGACUGCUGUUGCUAGGUAGAUUGUUUUGUUUUUUCUGUUAUUCAUAUUUGCAAGCUCACUGACAUUUGUUGGGUAAAUUAUCUGGAGAUUAAACACAUCUGGGUUUUACAUCCUGACUUUCCAGACUUUUAAUUGUCAUAAAUGAUUACCCUAAAAAUAAAAAAUUGAGCUCAGCAGAGAACUCACAUUGUGCCCUUUAAUUGUGCUUAUGGAAGUCAUUUUUUGGUAAUUUGACAGUAACUUCUUUUGACACUCCAUUUGGAAAUUUAAACUCACAACAUGGCCAUUUAAUCAUGAGGGUCUAGUGUAUGUAAUAGGCCGAGAUGGAAGUGACAUGACCUGUUUUACUCUUGUAAUAAAAUGCAUUUGUCAAUAAUUAUAAAA